This 229-nucleotide ribosomal RNA is filed under the name uncultured bacterium. RNAcentral describes it as "partial 16S ribosomal RNA". It matches the Rfam family "Bacterial small subunit ribosomal RNA", at positions 568 to 796 of the family's 1533-position model. The record is from RNAcentral.
UAUGUAGGUGGUUAAGUAAGUCGAGCGCGAAAUCCAUUGGCUCAACCAAUGAACUGCACUCGAAACUGCAUAACUUGAGUUCAGGAGAGGAAAGCGGAAUUCCCGGUGUAAGAGUGAAAUCUGUAGAGAUCGGGAGGAACACCAGUGGCGAAGGCGGCUUUCUGGACUGAUACUGACACUGAAAUACGAAAGCUAGGGGAGCAAACAGGAUUAGAUACCCUGGUAGUCC